RNAcentral lists this non-coding RNA (213 nucleotides) under Schnuerera ultunensis. RNAcentral describes it as "Clostridium ultunense T-box sequence". It matches the Rfam family "T-box leader". From Rfam's summary of the family: Uncharged tRNA acts as the effector for transcription antitermination of genes in the T-box leader family. T-boxes are found upstream of many aminoacyl-tRNA synthetase genes and some amino acid biosynthetic genes usually in Gram-positive bacteria. The anticodon of a specific tRNA base pairs to a specifier sequence within the T-box motif, and the NCCA acceptor tail of the tRNA base pairs to a conserved bulge in the T-box antiterminator hairpin. Lineage: Bacteria; Bacillati; Bacillota; Tissierellia; Tissierellales; Tepidimicrobiaceae. The record is from RNAcentral. RNAcentral also lists the same sequence under 1 other name.
CAUAAAGUGAUGAUGAGGACAAGUAAACUAUAAUACCUAAAAGAGAGGAGUUUCCGUAGGCUGAAAGGAACUUUAAGGUCAGAUUAUAGUUGAAAUGCACCUUUGAACCUAUUACCUGAAAGUUAUAGUAAGGUAAGACGGCUUACGGCGUUAUACGUGAUUAAGCAGGGUUUAUACCAAAUAGAGUGGAACCGCGGACUUGCCGUCUCUUUA